AUGGGCUCAGCCAGCAGCUGGGUGGCCCGAGUCCUCUCCCUCCUGAGCCCUGCCCGCGCUCCGGGUGACGUGGGGACCCCACCAAGCUGCUCCGGGCUGGCCUCAGUUUCUCAGUGUGGAGCCCCCGGCCUCACCGGCCACCUUAUGGGGUGGGUGAGUGAGCAGAAGGGCCCGGGGCCUCUAAGGUCGCAUGUCGCCAGCCACGCCUCUGUGGGGUGCCACAGGAGGGCAGUGGGUGCUCAGGACCAGAAAGACACAGAGCGCGGGCCCAGGCCCGGUGCCACAAACAGCCCCUUCCCCAGGGACUCGCUGCCUCCUCCUCUCCUCCUCCUCGUCGUCGCUGACUGGGGCACAUCACCAGGUUGCUGGGCUCAGCGGGGCGCCAGCCUGCAGCUCCCGGGGCUCACCAAGGCAGCCAGGAGGCUUGCUGGCUCUCUGGGGACCACGCACCUCCAGAACUGUCCCCAGGAACCAUGCCCCUCAUGCCCUAACAAGCCACCUGCCAAGGCCGCCAAACCACCAGGCUCUGCCUCCCCAGGGGUCCCCGUUCACAAACCAGAGCGGCUCCUGCCCAGGUCCCUUGGGAAAACAGGGCUGCGGGGAGCCCAGGGCUCCGCGGGUCACCGCCAGGACGCAGGUGGAAGAUCUGCCCUGUGCCGCACCGGCUCUGUGGCACUGGGCACAAGGACGCAUCACGCGCAGCUGCGGCCGUCCACGAGCCAGGACCAGGAGCAGGGGGAGCCCAGGGCAGCCCCGUGGCUCUCGGUCCAGUGCUGGUUCACCCCUGCCCCUCCCGGAGGAAGCCCCAGGUUUCCCGCAGCAGAAGAGGAAGCUGGAGCCCGCAGACCUCAGGGGCUGUCCCAAGGUCAGCCAGGGGCUCCUGUGGCCCGGGCCCCAGUCCCGUGCCCCGGCCCUGUGAAUCACCUGCCGCCUGAGAAGCUGAACAACUCUGGGAAUAACAGGGGAAGCUGGAGAAAAGUUGGCGCAGUCGCCGUGUGCCAGCACUAA
Molecule: long non-coding RNA, 1008 nt
Filed under: Oryctolagus cuniculus (rabbit)
Lineage: Eukaryota; Metazoa; Chordata; Mammalia; Lagomorpha; Leporidae
Description: lncRNA (ENSOCUG00000035213.1)
Source: RNAcentral